This 42-nucleotide ribosomal RNA is filed under the name Microascus melanosporus. RNAcentral's name for it is "partial 28S ribosomal RNA". Lineage: Eukaryota; Fungi; Ascomycota; Sordariomycetes; Microascales; Microascaceae. The record is from RNAcentral.
AUGGUUUGACCUCGGAUCAGGUAGRGAUACCCGCUGAACUUA